CCUACGGGUGGCAGCAGUGGGGGAUAUUGCACAAUGGGGGAAACCCUGAUGCAGCGACGCCGCGUGGGUGAAGAAGCGCCUCGGCGCGUAAAGCCCUGUCAGUAGGGAAGAAAAUGACGGUACCUGAAGAAGAAGCCCCGGCUAACUACGUGCCAGCAGCCGCGGUAAUACGUAGGGGGCAAGCGUUAUCCGGAUUUACUGGGUGUAAAGGGGGCGCAGACGGGGUAGCAAGCCAGGGGUGAAAGCCUGGGGCUCAACCCCGGGACUGCAUUUGAAACUGCGUGUCUAGAGUGCAGGAGGGGCAGGCGGAAUUCCUGGUGUAGCGGUGAAAUGCGUAGAUAUCAGGAGGAACACCGGUGGCGAAGGCGGCCUGCUGGACUGCAACUGACGUUGAGGCCCGAAAGCGUGGGGAGCAAACAGGAUUAGAUACCCGAGUAGUC
Molecule: ribosomal RNA, 440 nt
Filed under: uncultured bacterium
Lineage: Bacteria
Description: partial 16S ribosomal RNA
Rfam family: Bacterial small subunit ribosomal RNA
Source: RNAcentral